RNAcentral lists this ribosomal RNA (441 nucleotides) under uncultured bacterium. RNAcentral's name for it is "partial 16S ribosomal RNA". It matches the Rfam family "Bacterial small subunit ribosomal RNA", at positions 338 to 795 of the family's 1533-position model. The record is from RNAcentral.
CCUACGGGAGGCUGCAGUGGGGAAUAUUGCACAAUGGGGGAAACCCUGAUGCAGCGACGCCGCGUGAGUGAAGAAGUAUUUCGGUAUGUAAAGCUCUAUCAGCAGGGAAGAAAAUGACGGUACCUGACGAAGAAGCCCCGGCUAACUACGUGCCAGCAGCCGCGGUAAUACGUAGGGGGCAAGCGUUAUCCGGAUUUACUGGGUGUAAAGGGAGCGUAGGUGGCAUGGUAAGCCAGAAGUGAAAACCCAGGGCGCAACGCGGUGGAUUGCUGUUGGAACUAGCAAGCUAGAGUGCUGGAGGGGUAAGCGGAAUUCGUGGUGUAGCGGUGAAAUGCGUAGAUAUUAGGAAGAACACCGGUGGCGAAGGCGGCUUACUGGACAGAAACUGACACUGAGGCUCGAAAGCGUGGGGAGCAAACAGGAUUAGAUACCCCUGUAGUC